RNAcentral lists this long non-coding RNA (1207 nucleotides) under Amazona collaria (yellow-billed parrot). RNAcentral's name for it is "lncRNA (ENSACOG00000008594.1)". The record is from RNAcentral. Lineage: Eukaryota; Metazoa; Chordata; Aves; Psittaciformes; Psittacidae.
UGCAUAUUCUUCUCCUCACAAGCACGUCUUGUCCCCGCGCCCAAUGUCUUUCAUAGACGGCGGAAAGUGAAAUUUGUGCAAUGUCUGUAGGAGGCUGAAGAAAGGCCCUUUGUGUGCCCCCCGCGCGGGCGCUGGGCAGCCUCCAGCAGCACCCUCCGCCGCCCCGCGCCUCCCGGCCGCCGGCCUCAAUGCGACGCUUGUCCGGACACCGGGAUCCGCUCUUAAAGCCGGAGCCGGGCUCCCCCGGUUAGUGCCACCGGUGGCCCCGGCGAGGCGGGCGCGGCUCCGGGGGGUUCCCCCCUGGCUGCCAUCCCGGGAUGUUUCUGUACUGGAAGAAGCGGGGUGCCUACGAGCUGGAGGCUUUGCCCCCCGGGCUGGCGGGGCUGCAGUAUGGGGCAGUGGAGCGCUUCUCCUGGAGCUCCAGCCUGGACAUCAGCGAGGAGCUUGGGGCCGAGCCGUGCCCACCGGAGGAACCAGUGCUGCGCUGCCAGAACCCCGACUGCUCGGGCGAGAGGAGGGCGGCCAAGGUGGGUGCUGUGGGCUGGUGGGUAGCACCGAGCAGCACCGAAUGGUGUUGGUCUUAUGGAUGCAAAGGGGCAGCGGGUGGCUGUGCCCAACCCCAAGCCCCCUGGCAUGGCCAAUGUGCCCCCCGGCCUGUUUCUUGUGGCUGGAGUGGUUGGGGCUAAUCCGCUCCAGCCCGUCUGUUCCACCACUCACUAAUGUGAUGCCAGAGUGGAUUGAGGGUCCCUUCUCUCCCCCCGCGCUGGCCGGAUGCGGGGCCAGGCUGGAUCCGCACGCCGGCUCCCACUGAGCCCCAGUGUUCCUGUUCUGCGGGCGGUGUCUUUCUGGCACAGCAGCAGCCCAGCUGUGCCGGGAGGUGUGCCGCGGCGCUUUGUGUGCACGGCUGGGGUGGCAGAGCCGGUGCUGGUGGGGCACACGUGGCACUGGGCUGUGGCUGCCUCGGGGCACAGCAGGACCACCCCACGACUGUUAUCAGAGACCCCCUGACGGUGACCAGAAGGUAGCGUGGGGCGAGGGGUCCUGGCUGGGGUGGGGGCUUGUCCUGCAUCGCAUCCCCUUCACUAUGAAGCCGCUGCUGAAGGUCCUGGGAGUGCCCACCAAGCAAAUGGUCACUGCCUGGAGGCCAUGGCCACGCUCUCCUUUCUGCAGGUGCCACAAUGGCCACGAUGGUGACGGGCUGGGGCAC